AUGGUGCCAGCAAGGGAGCCGUGCCCCGUCCCACCGAGCCACCCUCUUUCCUCCGCACCCUGCUUCCAGAAUAAGCUAUUCACCCCCGUUUUUAUUUUCUUUUUUUUUCUUUUUUUCUUUUUUUUUUUUUUAAUUAUUGUUGGUUUUAAACUGCUAGCUGUGCUUCUCUACAGGGCAUGGAGAAAUGUCUUCCUUUCCUCCUGCGUUCUGGCUGGUGGCUCCCCGGGGGUAAGGUCAGAGCCGGGGGGGAUGCACAGGCGUCUGGGGCCACGUUCUUGUGCCGGUCAGGUGUUGCACCCAUUUUCGGAGGGGCUGCUCACCAGCGGUUUUGCCCUCGUGGAGGUGCAAGAGGGGAUGAGGUCUCCAGGACAGCUGGAGCAACAACAAAAUGUCCCUCUGGGAAUAGCAGGGUGCUCUCUGGAAAGCAAAGGACCCCCCAACACCUUAAAGAGCGUUGGGACCCGCUGCAGGGCGGUGCGACCUGGCGUGGCUUCGGGCUGGUCCCGAGGCUGCUGUGGCAGGAGGGUCUGGGGGUGCGCAGGGUGCCGAGUGCCCCGGGGAUGCCGGCGGGUGAGCGACCGGGCUGGUGGCGGCACCCAUGGGCCACGGCGCUGGGGAGAAGCCUGGGGAGGGCUUGGGAUGUGGGGCUGGAGGGUUUGGGGUCAGGACAGCAGCGCCUUGGGCAGCGCGGGGUCCAACAGGCGGCUGGGGAGAGCUGGGCGUGCGUGUUCACGCGCGUGCGUCCACGUUCGUGCGUGUUCGUGCAUCUGCAUGCGUGGCGUUUGCCCUCUCCUCGGAGCUCGCUUUGGGGAAGGGAGGGGAUGCACGCGGGGGAAGGACUUGGGAUGCUCAAUCGGGAUGAGGCCCUUGGCUGGUUUUUGCCGCGCAGGGCUGGAUCCGUCCAGGCGAGCGAGCGGUGCCCGUGCUUGGGAGUCGGGCUGGUCUCCAGCUCCUCCAAACACCCCCUGCACCGAGCCAGAGCAGAAAACCUGUUCCCCACCAUGGGCACGGCCACGGGUCGUGCCACCCAGCUGCACCCGCUGCCUUGCCCAUGUCCCACGGGGAGGGAGGGUGCCUCCUUCAUUAGCAAUCUUCUUUCCCUUCCAAUUCGAUGCUUUGAGCUUUAUAUUUUGA
Molecule: long non-coding RNA, 1134 nt
Filed under: Accipiter nisus (Eurasian sparrowhawk)
Lineage: Eukaryota; Metazoa; Chordata; Aves; Accipitriformes; Accipitridae
Description: lncRNA (ENSANIG00000004727.1)
Source: RNAcentral